This 650-nucleotide ribosomal RNA is filed under the name uncultured bacterium. RNAcentral's name for it is "bacterial SSU rRNA". It matches the Rfam family "Bacterial small subunit ribosomal RNA", at positions 93 to 777 of the family's 1533-position model. The record is from RNAcentral.
CAGCGGCAGACGGGUGAGUAACGCGUGGGAACGUACCUUUUGGUUCGGAACAACACAGGGAAACUUGUGCUAAUACCGGAUAAGCCCUUACGGGGAAAGAUUUAUCGCCGAAAGAUCGGCCCGCGUCUGAUUAGCUAGUUGGAGGGGUAACGGCCCACCAAGGCGACGAUCAGUAGCUGGUCUGAGAGGAUGAUCAGCCACAUUGGGACUGAGACACGGUCAAAAUUUCAACGGGAGGCAGCAGUGGGGAAUAUUGGACAAUGGGCGCAAGCCUGAUCCAGCCAUGCCGCGUGAGUGAUGAAGGCCCUAGGGUUGUAAAGCUCUUUUGUGCGGGAAGAUAAUGACGGUACCGCAAGAAUAAGCCCCGGCUAACUUCGUGCCAGCAGCCGCGGUAAUACGAAGGGGGCUAGCGUUGCUCGGAAUCACUGCGCCCCACAGGGUGCGUAGGCGGGUCUUUAAGUCAGGGGUGAAAUCCUGGAGCUCAACUCCAGAACUGCCUUUGAUACUGAGGAUCUUGAGUUCGGGAGAGGUGAGUGGAACUGCGAGUGUAGAGGUGAAAUUCGUAGAUAUUCGCAAGAACACCAGUGGCGAAGGCGGCUCACUGGCCCGAUACUGACGCUGAGGCACGAAAGCGUGGGGAGCAAACAGGA